Molecule: ribosomal RNA, 301 nt
Filed under: uncultured bacterium
Lineage: Bacteria
Description: partial 16S ribosomal RNA
Rfam family: Bacterial small subunit ribosomal RNA
Source: RNAcentral
CAGCCGCCGCGGUAAUACGAAGGGUGCAAGCGUUAAUCGGAAUUACUGGGCGUAAAGCGUGCGUAGGCGGUGAGUUAAGUCUGCUGCGAAAUCCCCGGGCUCAACCUGGGAAUGGCAAUGGAUACUGGCAAGCUAGAGUGUGUCAGAGGAUGGUGGAAUUCCCGGUGUAGCGGUGAAAUGCGUAGAGAUCGGGAGGAACAUCAGUGGCGAAGGCGGCCAUCUGGGACAACACUGACGUUGAGGCACGAAAGCGUGGGGAGCAAACAGGAUUAGAUACCCCGGUAGUCCCUGUCUCUUAUAC